GCCCAGACUCCUACGGGAGGCAGCAGUGGGGGAUAUUGCACAAUGGGGGGAACCCUGAUGCAGCGACGCCGCGUGGGUGAAGGAGUAUUUCGGUAUGUAAAGCCCUAUCGGCAGGGAAGAAGCAAGACGGUACCUGACUAAGAAGCCCCGGCUAACUACGUGCCAGCAGCCGCGGUAAUACGUAGGGGGCAAGCGUUAUCCGGAUUUACUGGGUGUAAAGGGAGCGUAGACGGUUACGCAAGUCUGGAGUGAAAGGCGGGGGCCCAACCCCCGGACUGCUUUGGAAACUGUAUAACUGGAGUGCAGGAGAGGUAAGUGGAAUUCCUAGUGUAGCGGUGAAAUGCGUAGAUAUUAGGAGGAACACCAGUGGCGAAGGCGGCUUACUGGACUGUAACUGACGUUGAGGCUCGAAAGCGUGGGGAGCAAACAGGAUUAGAUACCCCCGUA
This 447-nucleotide ribosomal RNA is filed under the name uncultured bacterium. RNAcentral's name for it is "bacterial SSU rRNA". It matches the Rfam family "Bacterial small subunit ribosomal RNA", at positions 329 to 792 of the family's 1533-position model. The record is from RNAcentral.